This 291-nucleotide small nuclear RNA is filed under the name Mesocricetus auratus (golden hamster). RNAcentral's name for it is "7SK RNA (ENSMAUG00000004395.1)". The stretch from base 1 to 258 matches the Rfam family "7SK RNA". From Rfam's summary of the family: 7SK was discovered as an abundant small nuclear RNA in the mid-70s but a possible function has only recently been suggested. Two independent studies have found that 7SK RNA binds the CDK9/cyclin T complex (known as elongation factor P-TEFb). P-TEFb activates transcription by phosphorylating the C-terminal domain of RNA polymerase II. The record is from RNAcentral. Lineage: Eukaryota; Metazoa; Chordata; Mammalia; Rodentia; Cricetidae.
GUAUGUGAGCCUGCCCCCUAUUGGCCUCCAGCAAGAGUUCUGUUCUGGCUGGCUGGGUAGGUGACCCCUACGUUCCUCGCCACUCCAUAGGUGUCCCUUCCGAAGCUUCGUCCUGGGUCAAGGAGGACAACCUCCCUCGUGGAGAGGAACUUGCCGGUACCCUACUAAAACCUGCAAACUGCUCUCAAAAAUGGCUGACAACAGAGCAGAUGUGAGGUGUGAAAACAUGCAUUGUCGUUUCCGAAGAAACCAUCUUAUUUUCUCAUAUAUAAAAGGAAAAUAUACAAUGGU